Molecule: non-coding RNA, 29 nt
Filed under: Mus musculus (house mouse)
Lineage: Eukaryota; Metazoa; Chordata; Mammalia; Rodentia; Muridae
Source: RNAcentral
UGUGAAAGCUUUAUUGACUUUAGCAGCCA